RNAcentral lists this ribosomal RNA (440 nucleotides) under uncultured bacterium. RNAcentral describes it as "partial 16S ribosomal RNA". It matches the Rfam family "Bacterial small subunit ribosomal RNA", at positions 338 to 795 of the family's 1533-position model. The record is from RNAcentral.
CCUACGGGCGGCAGCAGUGGGGGAUAUUGCACAAUGGGGGAAACUCUGAUGCAGCGACGCCGCGUGUGGGAAGACGGUCCUCUGGAUUGUAAACCACUGUCCCCAGGGACGAAGAUGACGGUACCUGGGGAGGAAGCUCCGGCUAACUACGUCCGAGUCGCCGCGGUAAUAGGUAGGGAGCGAGCGUUGUCCGGAAUUACUGGGUGAAAGGGGAGCGUAGGCGGGACUGCAAGUUGAGUGUCAAAUCUACCGGCUCAACCGGUAGCCGCACUCAAAACUGCAGUUCUUGAGUGAAGUCGAGGCAGGCGGAAUUCCUGGUGUAGCGGUGAAAUGCGUAGAUAUUAGGAGGAACACCAGUGGCGAAGGCAGCCUACUGGGCUUUUACUGACGCUGAGGCUCGAAAGUGUGGGGAGCAAACAGGAUUAGAUACCCCGGUAGUC